UACGAGGGGGGCAAGCGUUGUUCGGAAUUAUUGGGCGUAAAGGGCGCGUAGGCGGCUUGGUAAGUCUUGUGUGAAAUCUUCGGGCUCAACUCGAAGUCUGCAUAGGAAACUGCCGAGCUUGAGUAUGGGAGAGGUGAGUGGAAUUUCCGGUGUAGCGGUGAAAUGCGUAGAUAUCGGAAGGAACACCUGUGGCGAAAGCGGCUCACUAGACCAUAACUGACGCUGAGGCGCGAAAGCUAGGGGAGCAAACAGGAUUAGAUACCCUGGUAGUCCUAGCCCUAAACGAUGAUCGCUUGGUGUGGCGGGUAUCCAAUCCCGUCGUGCCGAAGCUAACGCGUUAAGCGAUCCGCCUGGGGAGUACGGUCGCAAGACUGAAACUCAAAGGAAUUGACGGGGGCCCGCACAAGCGGUGGAGCAUGUGGUUUAAUUCGACGCAACGCGAAGAACCUUACCUAGGCUCGAAAUGUAGUGGACUGGGGUGGAAACAUCCCUUCCCCGCAAGGGGCUGCUAUAUAGGUGCUGCAUGGCUGUCGUCAGCUCGUGUCGUUAGAUGUUGGGUUAAGUCCCGCAACGAGCGCAACCCUUAUUUCCAGUUGCCACCAUUAAGUUGGGCACUCUGGCAAAACCGCCUCGGAUAACGGGGAGGAAGGUGGGGAUGACGUCAAGUCCUCAUGGCCUUUAUGUCUAGGGCUACACACGUGCUACAAUGGCCGGUACAAACCGCUGCAAACCCGUGAGGGGGAGCUAAUCGGAAAAAGCCGGCCUCAGUUCGGAUUGUAGUCUGCAACUCGACUACAUGAAGCUGGAAUCGCUAGUAAUCGCGGAUCAGAACGCCGCGGUGAAUACGUUCCCGGGCCU
This 858-nucleotide ribosomal RNA is filed under the name uncultured bacterium. Its description in RNAcentral is "bacterial SSU rRNA". It matches the Rfam family "Bacterial small subunit ribosomal RNA", at positions 524 to 1381 of the family's 1533-position model. The record is from RNAcentral.